AAAAGGGAAGCAUCAAAAGAAAAUCACAAGAUCGAUCCUGAUUGAUCAGAAAGCCCACUUGUGAGCUUCUGUGACUCUCACACCUAUUUAGUGUUGCUUGCGCUCUUAAACUUUGCUUCAGUAAGGCAAGGCAAACCUAGCUAGCUCUAGCUUCCCCAGUUCUACUUCAAUUCUCAGCUUUUAAUUAAGUUAGCAUGGCUAAUUAUCAAGGCUUUAUGACCACGAGAGAGGAUAAAGUGUUUUAUCAUAUCAGGCACCCAUAUCCCGUGCUAUACGAUCAUGUCUACCCUGCAGAAGAAGUUUCAUACUUCCCAGCACAGGUAUCAGAAUUCCAACACAUAAUAGAAAACUCCACCAAGACUGCCACCGUAAAGACGGUGGAAGUUCCAGCUCAGAAGCCUCAUCAGAUAAAAGGUGGCGUUCUUACUAGCACUGAGGCACGAAAGAUCUACGGGCCUGUAAAGACGAUGGAAGUGUCAAUUACCUAGAAAUACCCAGAAACAUAGUCAGCCUUUCUUCCUCUCCUCCUAGUGAUCCUUUUAACUACUAGAUAUACCCUAUAUAUCUGCGCAGCGUGUAUCUUUUUCUUUUUUCUUUUUUUUCUUAUCUUGGAUUUCCAAUGGACAUGACUUCCGUGGCUAUCCAACAAAGAUUGACCCUGUGAAAGUUCCCGCCAGUCAAUAUGCCAGCGAGUUGUCCCGUCCUCAUGAUAAGCUUGUAAUUAAUAGAAUAUGUACGUACCUACAUACGUAUUUCGUGCAUGUAUUCUCGAUCUAUAAUAUCUCUUUGGUUUUAAUAUUUGCAUAAUCUAUUGUACAAUUCAGGAU
Molecule: long non-coding RNA, 827 nt
Organism: Prunus persica (peach)
Lineage: Eukaryota; Viridiplantae; Streptophyta; Magnoliopsida; Rosales; Rosaceae
Exons: 2
Source: RefSeq, a predicted model, not a curated record